GAUGAAGAACGCAGCGAAAUGCGAUAAGUAAUGUGAAUUGCAGAAUUCAGUGAAUCAUCGAAUCUUUGAACGCACAUUGCGCCCCCUGGUAUUCCGGGGGGCAUGCCUGUUCAAGCGUCAUUUCACCACUCAAGCCUCGCUUGGUAUUGGGCAACGCGGUCCGCCGCGUGCCUCAAAUCGACCGGCUGGGUCUCCUGUCCCCUAAGCGUUGUGGAAACUAUUCGCUAAAGGGUGUUCGGGAGGCUACGCCGUAAAACAACCCCAUUUCUAAGGUUGACCUCGGAUCAGGUAGGGAUACCCGCUGAACUUAAGCAUAUCAAUAAGCGGAGGA
RNAcentral lists this unclassified non-coding RNA (331 nucleotides) under soil metagenome. RNAcentral's name for it is "partial contains 5.8S ribosomal RNA, internal transcribed spacer 2, and large subunit ribosomal RNA". The stretch from base 1 to 120 matches the Rfam family "5.8S ribosomal RNA", at positions 35 to 154 of the family's 154-position model. The record is from RNAcentral.